Molecule: small nucleolar RNA, 94 nt
Organism: Stegodyphus dumicola
Lineage: Eukaryota; Metazoa; Arthropoda; Arachnida; Araneae; Eresidae
Product: small nucleolar RNA SNORD116
Source: RefSeq, a predicted model, not a curated record
GAAUAGAUAAUAAACGCAAGCAACUGUACUUUCUUGAAGAGCUGAACAUAAUAAUUGAUAAAUCUACAGCGUUUGUGUUAUAUAACUCAUUUUC